UUUCCUCUAAAAAAAAACUCUUAGCCAAAGAGUUCAGGUGAAAUUUCAAAAAUUCAAUAAUUAGAUUAAAUCCAUUUAUGUCUUUGUUCAAAAAUGUUGGAAGCAAAGCAGAACAAGCUCGUCCCCGUCCAAGUGUGAAUUUCGUUCAUAUUUCGCAGAAGCAGAUUCGUUUAAAUAGUUUUUGGAAUAAGUAUGUUAAGAUUCUUCUUUCUUUCUUUUGACAUGGUUCAUAUGAUACUGAAGAAACAAGCAAACA
This 256-nucleotide long non-coding RNA is filed under the name Nicotiana benthamiana. Its description in RNAcentral is "long non-coding RNA (NBEN_LNC021295)". Lineage: Eukaryota; Viridiplantae; Streptophyta; Magnoliopsida; Solanales; Solanaceae. The record is from RNAcentral.